RNAcentral lists this non-coding RNA (95 nucleotides) under uncultured Faecousia sp. RNAcentral's name for it is "TPP riboswitch (THI element)". It matches the Rfam family "TPP riboswitch aptamer (THI element)", at positions 8 to 91 of the family's 105-position model. Rfam says of the family: Vitamin B(1) in its active form thiamin pyrophosphate (TPP) is an essential coenzyme that is synthesised by coupling of pyrimidine and thiazole moieties in bacteria. The previously detected thiamin-regulatory element, thi box was extended, resulting in a new, highly conserved RNA secondary structure, the THI element, which is widely distributed in eubacteria and also occurs in some archaea. Analysis of operon structures identified a large number of new candidate thiamin-regulated genes, mostly transporters, in various prokaryotic organisms. The record is from RNAcentral. Lineage: Bacteria; Bacillati; Bacillota; Clostridia; Eubacteriales; Oscillospiraceae.
CUUCGGGGUGCCGGACGGAUCCGGCUGAGAUUGGGCUUUUGGCCCUGACCCGUGAACCUGAUACGGUUAAUACCGUCGGAGGGAAAGAUGAGAAU